Molecule: ribosomal RNA, 406 nt
Filed under: uncultured bacterium
Lineage: Bacteria
Description: partial 16S ribosomal RNA
Rfam family: Bacterial small subunit ribosomal RNA
Source: RNAcentral
AUUGAACGCUGGCGGCAGGCUUAACACAUGCAAGUCGAACGAGUGGCGGACGGGUGAAUACUGCUUGGGAAUCUAGCUUAUGGAGGGGGAUAACUACGGGAAACGGUAGCUAAUACCGCGUACCAUAGGAUGAGCCCAAUAGGGAUGAGUUAGUUGGUGAGGUAAAUGGUCACCAAGCCGACGAUCUCUCGCUGGUCUGAGAGGAUGACCAGCCACACUGGAACUGAGACAGGGCCCAGACUCCUACGGGAGGCAGCAGUGGGGAAUAUUGCCCAAUGGGAGCAAGCCUGAUGCAGCCAUGCCGCGUGUAUGAAGAAGGCCCUAGGGUUGUAAAGUACGUUCAGUCGUGAGGCGUUACCGACAGAAGAAGCACCGGCUAACUCCGGGCCAGCCGCCGCGGUAAUAC